GGAGAAACUUGUAAGCAAACCCCAUCUCUGUUUGUCUUUCUCUAGAUUUCUGCUUCAAUCUCAGAAGUGCAAACUACAUACAGAAGUUUAUAGAGUUUACUCUCUAUCAAAUUUUAAUGACAUUUCUCUCUUCUAAUUGAAGGUAACAAACCUCUAACACUCUCUGGGUAUGGAAAUUAUUACAUUCAAUAUCGCAACAUGUCAUGUUGUUACAAAUUUGAGGUGGAAAUUAGUUGAUAAAAGCUCAAAUUUGUGUAAAUCAAAGGUCCCUUCUGGUACAAAAGCUCGAGUUUUAUGUGCUAGGGUUGAUCACAGAAGUGAGUCAUUAAGAUUUUCUAAUAUUAACAAGUUAUUUUUAGGGAAUCCUGAUCAAGGGGAAGGUUCUAAGUCAAUCAAUGCCCCUGAAGGCUUAAAAGUUGUUGAUUCAAAGGUUUUGAGUGGAGAAUAUGAUAGUUAUGUGAUUCAUAGAGAUGAGGAUGUGGAGAAUAUUUCAGGAAGUGGAGAACCAACAACUAAGGUUUUGAUUCCUGGGUUACCAAAUGAAUCUAGGGGUGAAUGUGGUGCUCCCAUAAACAGUUGCUUUUGCGAAUGGAAGCCUAAACUUAAUGUGCAUUAUGAGAAAGCAGGGUGUCAAAAUGUGAAAUCUCCACCAGUGCUGUUUCUUCCUGGUUUUGGUGUUGGCUCCUUUCAUUAUGCAAAUCAAUUGAAGGAUUUGGGCCGUGAAUAUAGAGUAUGGGCAAUUGAUUUUCUAGGGCAAGGCAUGUCUUUGCCUGUUGAAAAUCCCACUACACUGUUGAAGGAAGGGGAUAUCUUAGAGGAAAAGAACUCCAUUUGGGGAUUUGGAGAGGAAACUGAGCCAUGGGCCAAUGAGCUUGUUUACUCCAUGGAUUUAUGGCGGGAUCAAGUUUCCCAUUUCAUAGAAGAGGUCAUUGGUGAACCAGUUUAUAUUGUGGGGAACUCACUAGGAGGAUAUGUUGCCCUAUACUUUGCAGCGAGCAAUCCUCAUUUAGUGAAAGGUGUUACGUUGCUUAAUGCAACCCCUUUUUGGGGAUUCCUGCCUAAUCCUAUAAGAUCUCCAGUACUGGCAAGGUUAUUUCCAUGGUCUGGAACAUUUCCUCUGCCUGCAAGUGUGAGAAAGCUCACUGAGUUACUUUGGCAGAAAAUAAGUGAUCCCAAGAGUAUAGCAGAGAUACUUAAACAGGUUUAUGCAGAUCAUUCUACAAAUGUUGACCAAGUGUUUUCUCGUAUUCUUGAAAUAACACAACAUCCUGCUGCUGCUGCAUCAUUUGCUUCAAUUAUGUUUGCUCCUCAGGGACAACUAUCAUUUGAGGAAUGUUUAAUGAGGUGUAAAAUGAACAAUCUUCCCAUCUGUCUCAUGUAUGGAAAAGAGGACCCAUGGGUGAAGCCCAUCUGGGGCCUUAAGGUGAAACGACAGGUGCCUGAAGCUCCGUAUUACGAGAUCAGCCCAGCUGGUCACUGCCCUCAUGAUGAAGUUCCUGAGGUCGUGAAUUACUUGCUUCGUGGGUGGAUUAACAACAUUGAGUCUCAUGGUUCGAAUGUACUGCCUUUGCUUGAUGAUUCACAGAGUAUCCGGUAUAACAUUUCCAAGGACUUGGAAUUUACAAGAGGAGGAUCAAGAAAAUUGGUGAAAGUUCGGUUCUUCGGAUCAGGGUUCUCCAUCUGGAACUGGAUUAACUCUCCUGUCAAGUCUCAACUUGGGAAAUUGGAAAUCAAAUCUGGAUAACUGAGCCACCUUCCCCAAUGAUCAAUGUAAAUUUGAAGCAAUUUUAUAAUUGUUCAGUAAUAUUAAUUGGUAGAUCCUCUUAUUUUUAAAAGGCAAUUAGUUAAUACCAAAUAUUUAAUUCUGUUAAUCAUAUGGUUCUUCCAUUCAAUUAAACAUUAUUUUUCUGUUAG
This 1914-nucleotide unclassified non-coding RNA is filed under the name Hevea brasiliensis (rubber tree). Lineage: Eukaryota; Viridiplantae; Streptophyta; Magnoliopsida; Malpighiales; Euphorbiaceae. The record is from RNAcentral.